AAUAUUUUGAGACUAGGGAUGAAAACUUUCCAAAAUAAAAAAACCCUAAAAGUUUCUCCUCAUAUUUUUGGCUAGGAGUCGGCAACCAUCCAACCUUCCAUUUUUCUUUCUCCUCCAUAUCCAAAAAACCAUCGGGAAUCUAUGGCCUCUUCUUCACUGAAACAGCUAGCCGACCAAACGACCAGCAACAAAAUAGAUCCAAAAACGACCUUCAAAAUGCAGCUGGAACAGCCACUCAAAUAGGCAACUACCUAACCCCAACUCGCCUGAAAUCACCAUUGGUCCUGCCAUCUUCUUCCCCAACUCAACAACCACAAAAGUCCCUCCUUCGUUUCCUCCUUUUUUCGGCGACGAAUAGCCGCAAAUCUUAACCAAUAACCACCAGACCCACCUCCAUCCUCCCCUUUCUUCUCCAACAUCAACAGAAAAAAAUUUAACCAUCAUCUUAGAACAAAAAAAAAGAAAACAAAUCCAUUUCACCACAAAAAUCUUAUCGUUUUCUCUUUUUCCAGUGAAAAGUCGUCGAAAACGAUCCAACAAUCAGACCACCGCCUGUCCUUUCACUUUUCCCCUUAACGAUUCUAUAUUUUUUGCAGGUGAACUAUAUCAACAAAUUUGUGAGCAAACAACAGCAGUAACCAAAAUUUCUAAGGAGCAACAAAACCAGUCACGAGGAAGAGUGACAACAACAACAAAUCUCUGACGGUUCCGAUCGUUGAAGAAUUUUGAAGGCGACAUUGUUGAAGGCUUUGAUUCUUCAUUUCAUCCAAGUAGGGUAGGUCCUCAACUUCCGAGGGUAGUGCCACUGUCUAGCUUACGGACUUGUUAAAGACUCUUUCAUUCUUUCCUUUUUAAUUGAGUACUAUACUUUUGUAUGACCUACAUGUGGUCUUGUUGACUUAAUGUAAGGGCUAUGUCCAUAUUGUGAUAAUCGUUUAGAUGGUAUGAGAUGAGACAAUCUUUGAGACUAUUUUUCUAUCUUAUAUAUGUAUAGUGCAAUAAAAGUAGAAGGCUAUGUAACCUUCCUAUACGAAGGGUCUAUGUAUACUCGAUACGACUAUAUAUUAUGUGUAUGUCGAGGUCUAUGCAAACCUCCAAGUAGUUGUAAUGGAAGUCUUAAAUUUUUCCGCAUUUUUCAACCUAUGAAUGUAAUGACAUGAGACUAAGAGGCUAGUCUUAGUCCUUGAAAAGGACGACGACGACGGUUACGUCUAGGGGGUAAACCCGAAUGUGAUACUAAGGUCCAAUCUAUGUUUAGUCAAGAUUUGAGUGUUUUGUUACUCUCAUCACAACUAAGUGCUAAUGAUGUUUAAUGAGCCUUUAUCAGUUUCCCUUUUGGAUUGCUGCUUUAAUGAUGUUUUAUUAAUGAUGAUAAGCAAAUGUUAAUUUAUUUAUUUUGUUGCUUUAUCUCCCUCAUAAUUUCUAAUCCUAUCAUUUAUUUGUUUUCACAUGUACUAUCGGUCGAGUUCGACUUGGACUCCGUUUUCCUCUUGUAUUGUCGUUGGGUUUCAAAACCCAACCUCCUUUAUGUUCGGGUCAGCCCCUUCGCAUUUUGAGUCAAGGAAACUGGCCAACAGGGGUUAAUAAUUGAUUCUAGACCCCAAAAAGAAGCCCCAAAAUGGGCUGUAUACAUCCCGUAUACUGCAGUAUACAUUGAUAUAUGAACUAAGAAUUUAAAUACAGGUUGAAAGCAGAUAAGAAGGUGUAAAGCAGUCCAAAAAUGGUCAGUAUACGUUUAUAUACACUAAUCUACAGGUUGUUGACGUCGGUAUACAAGGAUAUUACACCAGUAUACAGAAAUAUAUAUACUGCAUAAAGGCAGUGGAAAAUAGGCCAAGGCCCAAAUUUGGCUUAACCUUUUCUUUCUUUGUUUGAC
RNAcentral lists this long non-coding RNA (1876 nucleotides) under Solanum lycopersicum (tomato). RNAcentral describes it as "partial TCONS_00128343". The record is from RNAcentral. Lineage: Eukaryota; Viridiplantae; Streptophyta; Magnoliopsida; Solanales; Solanaceae.